Molecule: ribosomal RNA, 926 nt
Filed under: marine metagenome
Description: bacterial SSU rRNA
Rfam family: Bacterial small subunit ribosomal RNA
Source: RNAcentral
AGAGUUUGAUCAUGGCUCAGAACGUACGCUGGCGGCACGCCUAACACAUGCAAGUCGAACGAAGUAGCAAUACUUAGUGGCAGACGGGUGAGUAACAUGUAGGUAUCUGCCCUUUGGCCUGGAAUAACACGAGGAAACUUGUGCUAAUACCGGAUAAGUCUUUACGGAGAAAGCUUUAUGCACCAUUGGAUGAGCCUGCACUUGAUUAGUUUGUUGGUGGGGUAAUGGCCUACCAAGACUGUGAUCAAUAGCUGAUUUGAGAGGAUGAUCAGCCACAUUGGGACUGAGACACGGCCCAAACUCCUACGGGAGGCAGCAGUGGGGAAUCUUGCACAAUGGAGGAAACUCUGAUGCAGCGAUGCCGCGUGAGUGAAGAAGGCCCUUGGGUUGUAAAGCUCUUUCGUCGGGGAAGAAAAUGACUGUACCCGAAUAAGAAGGUCCGGCUAACUUCGUGCCAGCAGCCGCGGUAAUACGAAGGGACCUAGCGUAGUUCGGAAUUACUGGGCUUAAAGAGUUCGUAGGUGGUUGAAAAAGUUAGUGGUGAAAUCCCAGAGCUUAACUCUGGAACUGCCAUUAAAACUUUUCAGCUAGAGUAUGAUAGAGGAAAGCAGAAUUUCUAGUGUAGAGGUGAAAUUCGUAGAUAUUAGAAAGAAUACCAAUUGCGAAGGCAGCUUUCUGGAUCAUUACUGACACUGAGGAACGAAAGCAUGGGUAGCGAAGAGGAUUAGAUACCCUCGUAGUCCAUGCCGUAAACGAUGUGUGUUAGACGUUGGAAAUUUAUUUUCAGUGUCGCAGGGAAACCGAUAAACACACCGCCUGGGGAGUACGACCGCAAGGUUAAAACUCAAAUGAAUUGACGGGGACCCGCACAAGUAGUGGAGCAUGUGGUUUAAUUCGAAGAUACGCGCAGAACCUUACCAACACUU